AUUGAACGCUGGCGGCAUGCCUAACACAUGCAAGUCGAACGGCAGCAUGAAUAGGGGUAACCUUAUUUGAUGGCGAGUGGCGGACGGGUGAGUAAUAUGUAGGAAUCUACCUAGAGGAGGGGGAUAACUUGGGGAAACCCAAGCUAAUACCACAUAAGCCCUACGGGGGAAAGCAGGGGACCGCAAGGCCUUGCGCCUUAUGGUGAGCCUACAUCGGAUUAGCUAGUUGGUGGGGUAAAGGCCUACCAAGGCGACGAUCCGUAGCUGGUCUGAGAGGAUGAUCAGCCAAACUGGGACUGAGACACGGCCCAGACUCCUACGGGAGGCAGCAGUGGGGAAUAUUGGACAAUGGGCGAAAGCCUGAUCCAGCAAUGCCGCGUGUGUGAAGAAGGCCUUAGGGUUGUAAAGCACUUUCAGUAGGGAGGAAGGGUGUAACGCUAAUAUCGUUGCACAUUGACGUUACCUACAGAAGAAGCACCGGCUAACUCUGUGCCAGCCGCCGCAGUAA
RNAcentral lists this ribosomal RNA (508 nucleotides) under uncultured bacterium. RNAcentral's name for it is "partial 16S ribosomal RNA". It matches the Rfam family "Bacterial small subunit ribosomal RNA", at positions 30 to 523 of the family's 1533-position model. The record is from RNAcentral.